Molecule: long non-coding RNA, 4058 nt
Organism: Dermacentor andersoni
Lineage: Eukaryota; Metazoa; Arthropoda; Arachnida; Ixodida; Ixodidae
Source: RefSeq, a predicted model, not a curated record
CCCAUGGAGGCUGCUAGUGCUGCUUCUGCUGCUUCUGGCUGCUUCAAAGUUUAUAGAGGAGGAGGUGUAUGGAGGUGUUCUGUGGUUAACCCAACCCCCUUGGCUGCUUUCAUGGAAGAUUUCCCUUCCUCCAUAGCUGUUUCGCGCUCGUUUUUGCCGAUUUUGAAACUUUUAGCAGCAAUGGCGGCGGUUAGUUCGUGUUCUUGUUCGCUUGCGUAAAGUGAUACGAGUUUUCGAGUGGAGACCAUCGGACCGUGUUUGCAAGAGCGGCAGCAACGACACUGCUUUAUUUCGGAGCACCACGCAGACGCAUGACUCCUCGCCAGCAGCACGGCACACAUCGCAGGGGACGCUUUCCCACCAGACGCGCUACGGCGCAGCGAUCAUGUCAGAGGCGUCCCGCAUCGGACGCUGCACCUAGGAAUCGCGCUGUGAGCGGAAAGAGGAGCCGCGUCGCCUAAACACGACGGUUCGAGUGACGCACGCUGGAAGUUGGAAGGGGACAAAGCGAGAAAACUUAUUAAACACAAGGGUAUUGGGUCAUCCUCGCACCGGUCCCCGCACGGCUCCAAUGCGCUCAAACGAGACGAAGGGGAGAAGCGGGCGAGUGGCGCGCCAACUGUCGGGGCAGCGCCGUACAUUGCGAGGAGGGGGUCUUCUGUGUUUGCCGCAAGAUGGCUCUGCGUUUGCGCCAAGCGCAGAAGAAAUUUAGCGGAAACGUACUUCGCUACUCGUUUAACUGCGACUUCUGUAAUUUACAUGCUCAUAAUUACCGAUAUACACUGCAGUAUAACUUUCUACGGCACCUUUCAAAGGCAACACCGCAUUCACCAGAGGCGAUUUUGUCGCGCUUUGAACCAUCGAACUCAUGGCUGUCAAUAAAGAAAAAAAAAAGAACUCAUGGCUGAGUGGUAGCGUCACCGUCGCACACUCCGGAGACCUUGGUUUGAUUCCCACCCAGCCCAUCUUGCACGUUGUUUUUUUAUUUAUGAAUUGCCUUCCGGGAUUUUUCGCUCACGGCCAACGACGCCGACGACACCGGCUUUUCUGCGACACGAGCUCCUCAACGCUGUCGCGUUAAUAAUACCAACGGCAGGCAGCAAACAAGUGCGGUCGCCGAAGGUAAUGGUCGCCAGCAGCAAAGGCAAGCCCAUGACAUUCCUAUAGAGCCAUAGAGUGAGAAAUUCUAUGCAUAGAGCUAAUGCGCCCGAUUUUCGCAUGCGACGCUAGCGCCGCCUGGAUUCUAACGGUAGUUGCUCUAAUACCAGAAAAAUGUUUACUUACUAAUAAUAGAUAAUGUUUUGAAUAUUAUUCACUUACAAUCUAAAUUUAAAAAUGACAGGUGACCUCUGAAUAAUUUCUAGUUGCAUAGAAAGUUAAAUGGGUAUCGAAAGCGCAAUGACGCUUGUGAGCAGUACCACACAGUAGACGACCGACGCCGGCAUUGUCUGCUUCUGCUAUUGCUGUUGCGCUGCCCGCUUGCUUUAGCCAGGUAUAUCCCAAUAUAUAUAUAUAUAUAUAUACAUAUAUAUAUAUAUGUAAUCUUAUAUAGGACUAAGAAUUAGCUUGUACAUUUACCUUUGAAGGUUGGCACUGCUGUAUAGGCCGAGCGAAAUCACGACGCUGAUCACACUAACUUGCUGCCAAUAAACAGCUAUAUUAUAACAUCAUUGAUGUUUACAUGAAAUAAAAAGCAUGUGAAUAGCGUUUCAGAAGAUAUACUGGUGCGUAACAUGCAUAGUUUAUGUGCAAAAGGAUACUACGUACAGUCUUGACACACAUUUCUGGUGAACACAAGCUGUCUGCCGUUGAAUGAAGAAAUACAUCCGACCACAUAAAGCCGUCGCACGCUGGUAUGUUGCUACUGAAGUUCAUCCACUUUUGUAGCUGAAGAUGUCACGCCACUUCGUUCACAAUAUUCACAAACUGCAACUUGAUUUGAGCCAGUGCCUCCUGUUUGAGCAGAAACACGUAGCUUUCACAAGGGCGAAUUCUGUCGCGACUGUUCAUCUUCUGGUCCAGAAUGCCUGCUCUCUCUCUUGCAGUUAACCAUUCGAGAAGUCACGUUAUAAAAAUUUUCAGCGUUUAAGCUGAAUUUGCUUCGAAAAGUUGAUUAUUUCAGACAGAAUUGUUUUUCUGUACUUGCUGGUUUGAUGCGUUGCAAAUAAAGUUUACAUAAUACAGGCUUAGCUGGCGUUUCGAUUACCGCUGCCGGCGGUGCGCUGUCGUCGUUUCGAUGGUGGCGCCACCCCAAGGCUUGGACGCGAAACACGCCACAUGCCACAGGCUUGGCUAAGGCCUCUUUUGUACAAUGAUGACAGUAAAGAGCAGAAGCUUAAGAUACUGUCUCAGGGGGAGCCGCAACGGAGUAAAACAGUAUCAUCAGCAGCUCAUAAGCAUACUUAUCCAAUAUGUCAUAGAAAUUGAACUUUUAAUGUGGUUCAAAAAUCUGGCACUGCAUGCUAUUUUAAAUGCAAAAAAACAAUACCACCUGUACGCAUUCGUGAAACGAAACUUGCCAUUUCAGGUUAAGAAAUUUGGUAUUGUGUCACUCGUUUCAUUGUUCAUGUGUGAAAUGUAAAAAGCCUAACUGCAAAUCAUGGUGAACCUUAAUUACUUUUGCGUGCAUUGUUUUGGUAGAAUGUACAGUUUACUUAAAAUUCCUUUUUUCAUGUAAGAUACUUUAACCGUCAAUUGACCUUUAUUCUGUUUUGACUGAAUGAUUUCUGCACUGCACUAUCCCAUGUGAUUGUCAAGACAGCUGUGUCGCAGUGUUGUCGCAGAGUAGUGUCCAGUCAAUAGGUAGACUGUAUCUUUUCCCAUUUUUUGUUGCUCCAAGCAUGUCAAUCUUACUUUUGCUUUUUUCAGAGUACCUGUCCUCACUGUCACAUUUGAAGUAUUGUAGGUGGCUAGGAAUGACCCAACGUGAGCUAAUAUGCUGUCACACUCUAUCAAAACAGUUGCAGACUGUCUGAAGAAACUCCUGUUUGAGUGUUAUCUGCGACUCAAAGAAUACUACAAGCCAUUGACCCUGCAAAUCCGUCUGUAAGCAGCUGCAUCUUUCCCUGAGGCGGCACGAAGAAGGAAGUUCCGUAGCUGUGAUAUCAUCGACUAACUUUCUGGGUGGGAGUCCCAGUUUUCUGUAGAAGAUUGCAACAAAGUAUUCCAGGGUGAAAAUCAAGCCUUUCUGAUUAGCAGAAAUGGUGGGCCUCCUAAUCAAAACAUGGCUCCUGGGCCCACAACAAGCUUUUUGUGGUCAGCCACAGUUCAGUUGUAAUUCCAAUUGGUAACUUUUGAAAGCACCACAAAUCAGUUUUGUGUGUGUUGUGUGACAAUGGUAUAGUUCUUGCAGCCAUGAUUUAGGCAAAGUAAGUUUUAGAACAUUAGUUACUGUAAAGAUAGCAUUGUGAAUGUGCAAGUUCUCUGGAAAGAAGUUGCCUUUACUAAGGACUAGCUGUAUUAGUCAUAUUCAUAGCAACCAUACUGAAUCACAUUUGUAUUUAAGAAAUAAACUGCAUUUUUUACUGCUCUUUUAAGCAUCUAUGAGCCAUUAUGAAAGGUUGUGUCCGUGCAGAGGCAGGAAACAGACUCUUCCUUAAAAUGCACUCUCUACACACUUGCACCCAGUUCUGCUGCGAUUAUACUGCAUGCAUCUGUUUAUAGUACAGUUUACCUGAGGUGAUAGUGGUAUUUAUUGGCUGUGUUUGGUCGUGGCAAUGGUAUAUGUGGUUUUUGCAUAUGAAUCCAUGCAUUUUCAUACCAGUGCAAGUCUAAAGAGCAAUAGAAUCAUACAUUUAUUGCACCAUUUCAGACAGACAUGCUUAUUAAAUGUAUGCAUGGCAUAGUGUGCUAUUACUGAUCCACUAGUAUCACAAAACAAUGGUCCUUUCUGACUCUGAAAAUGUAGAACUCAGGCAUGAUGCUCGAACGUUGAGAAUGGCUGAACAAAAUGAGUGGACUGCAAUGCAUUACCUGCACUCACUGUGUGCUCAGACUGAAUUGCAACACUUGUUUCAGCUGUGUCUUAAAGACUUAAAAAUAAAGGUUCAUAAUGAAAA